UACAGAGACUGCAAGCGUUAUUCGGAUUCACUGGGCGUAAAGGGUGCGCAGGCGGCCAAGUGUGUGAGGCGUGAAAGCCUGGAGCUUAACUCCAGAAUUGCACCUCAAACUACAUGGCUAGAGCAUUGGAGAGGGUAGCGGAAUUCACGGUGUAGCAGUGAAAUGCGUAGAUAUCGAGAGGAACACCUGCGGCGAAGGCGGGUUGCUGGGCUGACACUGACGCUGAGGCGCGAAAGCUAGGGGAGCGAACGGG
Molecule: ribosomal RNA, 253 nt
Filed under: uncultured bacterium
Lineage: Bacteria
Description: partial 16S ribosomal RNA
Rfam family: Bacterial small subunit ribosomal RNA
Source: RNAcentral